GACGAACGCUGGCGGCGUGCUUAACACAUGCAAGUCGAACGGAAAGGCCCUGCUUGCAGGGUGCUCGAGUGGCGAACGGGUGAGUAACACGUGGGUGAUCUGCCCCUUACUUUGGGAUAAGCCUGGGAAACUGGGUCUAAUACUGGAUAGGACCAUGCUGUAGGUGGUGUGGUGGAAAGAUUUUUUCGGUAAGGGAUGAGCUCGCGGCCUAUCAGCUUGUUGGUGGGGUAAUGGCCUACCAAGGCGUCGACGGGUAGCCGGCCUGAAAGGGUGGACGGCCACAUUGGGACUGAGAUACGGCCCAGACUCCUACGGGAGGCAGCAGUGGGGAAUAUUGCACAAUGGGCGCAAGCCUGAUGCAGCGACGCCGCGUGGGGGAUGACGGCCUUCGGGUUGUAAACUCCUUUCAGCCAUGACGAAGCCUCUUUUGGGGUGACGGUAGUGGUAGAAGAAGCACCGGCUAACUACGUG
RNAcentral lists this ribosomal RNA (471 nucleotides) under uncultured bacterium. Its description in RNAcentral is "partial 16S ribosomal RNA". It matches the Rfam family "Bacterial small subunit ribosomal RNA", at positions 28 to 507 of the family's 1533-position model. The record is from RNAcentral.